ACUAUUUUGGCAGAUAAGUGCGGUAGAUUUAGAAUCUAUAAAUGUGGAUUUUUCUACAAGUAGUA
RNAcentral lists this transfer RNA (65 nucleotides) under Panchlora nivea. Its description in RNAcentral is "tRNA-Leu". It matches the Rfam family "tRNA". Rfam says of the family: Transfer RNA (tRNA) molecules are approximately 80 nucleotides in length. Their secondary structure includes four short double-helical elements and three loops (D, anti-codon, and T loops). Lineage: Eukaryota; Metazoa; Arthropoda; Insecta; Blattodea; Blaberidae. The record is from RNAcentral.